RNAcentral lists this ribosomal RNA (468 nucleotides) under uncultured bacterium. Its description in RNAcentral is "partial 16S ribosomal RNA". It matches the Rfam family "Bacterial small subunit ribosomal RNA", at positions 28 to 507 of the family's 1533-position model. The record is from RNAcentral.
GACGAACGCUGGCGGCGUGCUUAACACAUGCAAGUCGAACGGAAAGGCCCUGCUUUUGUGGGGUGCUCGAGUGGCGAACGGGUGAGUAACACGUGAGUAACCUGCCCUUGACUUUGGGAUAACUUCAGGAAACUGGGGCUAAUACCGGAUAGGAGCUCCUGCUGCAUGGUGGGGGUUGGAAAGUUUCGGCGGUUGGGGAUGGACUCGCGGCUUAUCAGCUUGUUGGUGGGGUAGUGGCUUACCAAGGCUUUGACGGGUAGCCGGCCUGAGAGGGUGACCGGCCACAUUGGGACUGAGAUACGGCCCAGACUCCUACGGGAGGCAGAAGUGGGGAAUAUUGCACAAUGGGCGGAAGCCUGAUGCAGCAACGCCGCGUGCGGGAUGACGGCCUUCGGGUUGUAAACCGCUUUCGCCUGUGACGAAGCGUGAGUGACGGUAAUGGGUAAGGAAGCACCGGCUAACUACGUG